UCAGGGUUAUUAGUGGAACGACCGGGAUUUGCCGUGUGCGUGUGUGUGUUUGUUUUCAUCACAAAAAUCAAUAGCUACAUACAUCAAGAUUAUACAUCACUGAACAUCGCUCGCGGAACCCGGCGAUGUGUGCCCGUGGACCAAGCCGGUCGACUGGCUGGUCCAGGUGAAAGUGGCAGAAGAGAGGGACAGGUGUCCCGCGCAAGACGCUAGGGUGUCCGGCUCCGACUCGUAUUACAGUGCUUUCACUUGAGGUCAGCUUUGGUUCUAAGGUGGCAAUAUCGAUCGCUGUGAUGGUUGCUCCCUUUCUGCUUGAACGAGCACUGUGAUUGUGUCGUCGCGAAACGAACCCAAACGCGGGACGCCGCGCGGCGUCCUAGGCUAACAGGCGAGCGGGCUAAGCCAAGACAAAUGGCAGGAACGGAUUGGACGCCGAUCGCGUUUCCAACCACUCGUUUGUGUUCAGGUCCAGCCUGCACGCGGUAAUCGUGGAAAAGCAGAGGCCGCUUACCUUGCUCAGCUCGUGUGCUUUUACAGUUUGGCUCAAAGUGAGCUCUGCUCCUCAGCCCGCGCACCUCCGCCAUCUUGGGUCUGAGCUAACUGCCCCGCUGACGUCACAACCGAGUGGGGGCCGACGCUUACUUCCAUGCUUAAAUGUUGGCGCACCACUCUUCACCGGAGGUUUUCGCCCUCAAAGUUCUCCCCAGCCCCCGAGAGCGUUCAUUUUAAUAGCUGAGAAAGGGGCUUCGACACAGGCGGACCACCUUGAAAACGUGAACCUUUAGCAGCAGGCCCAGCCUGUCCCCGAACGGGAGCGGUGGGAACGUUCCCCUGUGCAGCCGGCCAUGACAGGCCCAUGUCGGGCCGGGCCUCGGCUCCUCCACUCCGUGGAGUGGGUGAUUGACAGGUCUCACCGGGGGAGGUGGGACUCCAUAUCUGUCAUUCAGAACGGCCAAGACGCCACCUGAAGGAAUCGCUUAUGGGAUCUCGGCAUCAAACGAGCCAACGGAAGAGGCAAGUUUUUGUUGACAGAAAAAGCCCUUUGUUGGAAUUACGUAACGUGAAACUUAAAAGAACCGAGGCAACAUGAACACAACAUUGUGGGGUGAAUGAUCUAAUUUCUUGAAUUGAAAACCUACAUGAAAUUGAUCACAUUAUAACGUGACUGAGAUUUUUUAUUU
This is a long non-coding RNA of Syngnathus typhle (broad-nosed pipefish), 1181 nucleotides long. RefSeq lists it as uncharacterized. NCBI's taxonomy places the organism in Eukaryota, Metazoa, Chordata, Actinopteri, Syngnathiformes, Syngnathidae. The transcript has 3 exons. The record is from RefSeq and is a predicted model, not a curated record.